RNAcentral lists this ribosomal RNA (324 nucleotides) under Triticum aestivum (bread wheat). RNAcentral's name for it is "partial small subunit ribosomal RNA". Lineage: Eukaryota; Viridiplantae; Streptophyta; Magnoliopsida; Poales; Poaceae. The record is from RNAcentral.
ACGGUUGUGAAGCCAACAAUUGGCACCUCGUUUGACUUGAUUGAUGAGGCAUAUGAGUUCUACAAUCUUUAUUCUUGGGAGUGCGGUUUUGGUGUCCAUCUUUCAAGCAGCAGACUGAAUGUUGACAGGAACAAAGCCACGCAAGAAAUUGUAUGUGCAUGUGCGGGCAAACCACUAAAGGAGAACACCCGUUCAACGAGAUGUGGUUGCACCGCUAUGAUUAGGCUGCUUAGGUCCAGUGAUAAUGGUUGGUACAUAUCAGAACAUAAAGAAGCUCAUAACCAUCCAUUGUCUUUGACUUGCGGGGAGAAAAUGCAUUGGAAG